AUGCUUGUAGCUCAACAGGAUAGAGCAACAGAUUACGAAAUUGGAGGUUGAGAGUUCAAAUCUUUCCAAGCAUG
This 74-nucleotide transfer RNA is filed under the name Cyanophora paradoxa. RNAcentral describes it as "tRNA-Arg". It matches the Rfam family "tRNA". From Rfam's summary of the family: Transfer RNA (tRNA) molecules are approximately 80 nucleotides in length. Their secondary structure includes four short double-helical elements and three loops (D, anti-codon, and T loops). The record is from RNAcentral. Lineage: Eukaryota; Glaucocystophyceae; Cyanophorales; Cyanophoraceae.